UAAAUACCGGAGCAAUUUCUAUUUUCCUCACAAAAUUUACAAAAAUGACUCAAAAAUAGGAUCUUAAAUAAAUAAGCAAUAGAGCAAUCUAAUUGUACAUUCUCUAAUAUUACAAAAGCAAUGUUAAUUUUACAAACUUGUGAUUUGUCAGCAAGAUAAUAAAUAGAAAGAGAAAGUACGUGCAUUAAAGAAUUCAAUACAAUGGAGAUCGAAGUAAGGAUGGCAGCCCAUGUUAAGCCACAUUUUCCUAAAAAAAAAAAAUUAUGAUAAGUUGCAUGAUACAAUGCGCUACUGACUAGUGACUACAAUCUAAAUGUAAAGGCACAUUGAUGAUAGUAAAAAUUAUUUUCAUUUAUGACUUCAUAACUUUCUGGUGAUUGAAUCUAACAAGUGCUCAAGUAUCCAAUGGUUCAAAUGCAUUCCACAUAGUUUGAUCACAUAUCCAAUGGAUCAAAUGCAUUCCACAUAUUUUGAUCAUCCGACGACUGCGGAUCUCUUAGAAUGGAUUCAAUCUUUGGUCCUCCAUGUUGAUUUCUUGCAACAGGAAAAUUCCAAAAUGAAUCGGAGUUCUCGAAGAAAAUGUAAAAUACAACAGCCGAUGCCAGAAAUAGAGCUAAAAGCAACGAGUAAAUCUGCCACUCUGCACAAAGUCAAAAAAGAAAAUGGUUAGGACACUGAAUUUUGAGAGUGAGAGUGAGAGAGAGACAAAGAAAGACCUUUCCAAUCUGCCGGAACAGUUAGCUUGGUGAUCAUAGCUCCCCACUCUUUAGAAGCGGUAAGCACCACCCUGUGAAAAAGCACCACACGAUGAGAGGAAGAAUUAAUACGUAAGAACUAAAAUAGAGGAACUGUGAAGAAAAAAAUUGGUUGCAAAUGACUUAUAAAGCUACAUCAAAUGUUCAAUUUCAGUAGAAGAGCUCUAAUACAAUAUAAGAAUGCAGUCAACUUCUUUUUAUGGUACGUAAAAAUCCUUCGAACCUUUUAUGUUCAAAGAUUCCUGCAUUAGAGACUAUUUUCGGUUCCUACAACCUUGUCAAUUGGAAUACUCAUGAGAUGUAAAUAUGCCAGAUUAGUGACCCAAAGUGGCUUUGAAAUUUGAACUCCUGACCUCCCAGUUGAAUCAAAAGGUCCAAGGGUCUCACCACAACCCAACCACUUAUAAAUUAUUAAGGUCAAUACGGGAUGAUUGUCGCAUAAUUUCUGGAAUUACCAAACAGAUUUUUUAAAGAAUAAAAGAAUAUUUUAAUUCUUUGGCAGCCCUUAAAGUUGUUGAUCAAACAAAAAGGCAAGGCAUUCCUAUGUGUUGAUCAUUAUGUAUGACAUAUAUCUGUGUUACCAUUUGAAUCUUACCUUUGGGUGGGACAGAACUCAACUAAUGCAAUGGAGGUACCCAGGUGUAGCCUCUUACUCCAAUGAUUGAUUUCCAUUUUUUUCACAUCGACAACACAGAUGUCCCCAUCUUUGCUUCCCCUACAAUAAAUAAAAAAAUCAAACGUCAGUUAAAACAAAGUCACAAGUGAAAAUGAAAGCGAAACACAUAAACACCGCCAAAUGGCUACAGAGUUGUAUAUUAGCUCAAUGACAAAUUUUGGCUCAAAACAUUGAUAAGAAUCACAGCAAUUUAAGCAUUUCAAAAAAAUACAUCAGACACUGAGUUCAUAUUUUCUAGAAAAAUAGUAACACACGCCCACAUACUGACAACAAAUUUUUAAACAGUAUCAUCGUGAGCUUACAUAGCAAGAUACUUCCCAUCCAAGCUGAUAGACAAUACAGAUGCAGGCUUUCUAAGCAGCCUCUUAUGGCCAAUUUUGUUCCAUGUACUGAUAUCAUAAACCGCAAGGAGAGCUUUAUCACCUGUUUCAUUGAUAUUAAUUCAGAUUAAAUUAUAAUCUAACAAUAGCUCAGUAAAAUGUUGUACAUCAAACAAGAGGGAGAAUAUACCUCUUUGAACUGUGCAAAACAAAAAUGGUUUUGUCCCAUCCUUGGAGAAUCUGCAUAACUCAAUCUUCUCAUCCUGCAUGGUCCCCCCCCCCCCCCCCCAAACACACCAAAAAAAAAAAAUGUUAAAAGUUUUUUCCAUGUAAGGCAAACUUCUAGCAAAUAUUCCAAUACCAUAGAUAGAUAAAUCAUACCGAGUUGCGAGUUAAGAAAGUCCAAGCAACACCAUCUUCUGUUUUCCAUAUUCUAGCAGAACCAUCAGUAGAAGUUGUAGCCAAAAACUCUGAAUCUAGGCUAUCAGAUAAACAUAACCAAAAGUUUCAGCACCCAGUUAUGGAAGUGUCAAACUCCUGUACAAUUUUAUUAAAAGGUGCCUAUAUUAUUGCAUUUACCAUAAAAUUUAGUACUUAUACAUAUAUUUGUGUUUAUUAUUAUUGUUGGUUUUCAUUUAAGCAUGGCAUGACUGGUAAUUAAAUCAUCUCUCCACAAACCCCGCCCCUAGUACAUAGAGGUUAACAUUAGAAAUGUCAUGACAUAUUUCUGAUGACACACAAACGAAUUAGUUUGAUGCUUACCUAAAGUCCAUAUCCAACACAGACUUGUGUGCUUUUGGUUCAUCUAAAAUGAUGCGCAGGCUUGGCCAAUGCAUUAUUCUGAGAUGUCCAUCCUACCAUUGGUUAGAAAGAUGUCAGACAUGCAUGCUUGUCAUAUAAAAAAUGCAGUAAUCAAUAGAAUGUUGUAAUAUAUUAAAUUCUGGGAUAUUUUCACACCAUUGAAACAGUGGAUAUAACAACAGAUCAAAUUAUAAAGCAUUGCUUACCACUCCACCAGCAGCAAAUCUAGAUCCAUCCACACUGAAGGAUAGGCAUUUUUGUGGGCCAGCGUCUUGAAGAGGAGGCAUUUUCUUGGCCAGUAAAUUUAUAUCUGUUGCUCCACCAUAUACCUCAAACAAUCUGCACAUCAUGGGAAUAAAUCAGUCUACAUUACAACCUCUUAAGCUGAUAGUUUUGCUAGCCUGACUAGCUGUAUAAUUUCACUUUGUAAAGUAAUACCUACUCUGAAGACUAAACUAAUUGAAGUAAACCUCUUGAAAAUGUUUGGCUAAAAUCAGUCUACAAACGAAAACACUUGAGAAAGAUCAACUCAAGGGAUAAAAGAUUCAUCUAGUCUUAAAUCCAUUUACAGGCUGAAAACAACUCAGACUAAAACAUCAGUAAUACAGAGCCAUAUCAACCAACUAAAACAAAAGACAAUUUAAAUAGGAAACAUUUUUUGCAAUAAAUUCAGUUAAAACAAACAAGCAGUUUCCAAGCGUUUAAAGAAACAGCUUCUCUCAACUCAAUUAGGCUCCACCAUCUAUCUCACCACUUACUUUCAAAAAUAAGAUAACACAACUUAGGAUGCAGAGACCACAUAUUAUCACAAAAGCCAAAGUGCAAGCAGAAGUUAUAAAUAAGACACAGUUUAUUUCAACUUAGAACAGAACACCAAUUCUCAACAGUCCGCCCAUUCCAAUCCAACAUUAUAAUCAUUGACUUCGCAAUAUCAAACUUUUCUUUAUUGACUUCAACUAACACCAUUGUUUGAUCCAUUGGAUCAAGGGUAUGUUUGAAGUUAAGGUGGUGUGGCUUUUAAUAUACGACUAUUAAGGAACGAAAUCACUAGAUGUCAAAGUGAGUGGGCAUUAUUAGCAAACUGUUUCAAAAUUAAAACUUGGUGCCUUUCUCCCUAACUUAAGAAUAAAAUUUUAAGCUUACAAGCAAUCCCCACUUUUCAGUUGAAGAUUAUAAAUUUAAACUAAAAACUGACCAAAAACACAACUCUUUACAAUCAAAUUACAGAGUAAUGAAUCAAACAAACUAAAAGCUAAUAAACUCACUUGCAGCCACCAUUAGUUGUAGAGCAAACAAAGUCAUCACCACUCGGGUUCACAGCAAUUGUCAUGGGAUCGCCUUCGCUUUCAUCAAACACAUAAGUAACCUUCAAAAAAAAAAAAAGCCAAAAACAAAACAAACCCACAUCAGAAAAGUCAACGAAACAUCAAAAAUCAAUUCAAAACGAAAUCUUUUUCGCUUUUUUUUUCAAAAAAGAAUAUUUUUACCAAAGGGGAAGUGUAGACAGAGGUUGUUUUGGGAUCAAAGGAGAAAAUUUCAAGCACUGAGGGGGAUGAACUGGCCUGGCUGGACUUGCCCAACACAACCAAAUUCACGUUCUCGGGUCGCUUGAUCCACGACCCGCAUGUCACGGUACCACCACCCUCCAUUUUAAUUGAUUGAUGAAAUAAAUUUGAGUUUGAAUAACAAAAACUUUUUUUUUGGGGGUUUUGUUUUUGAAGUGGGAACUGGAAACAGAGUCAAUGGAGGAAGAUGAGGGGGUUUUUGCUGGUUUUAUAGUCGAAAACGCGGACAAAUUUUUCGCUUUCCGCGAAAAGUUUUUUGGUUUUGCCUUGUGUUAUGCUUUUCUUGUUCCAGGUACAAUGAUGUGCAGAGCACAACGCACGGGAGAUAUUAAACCGCGUGGAUAAGAUAAUAAUUUAUUAUGUCAUAUUUUGUGUACGUAAAUUUGUAUUUCUUUUUAUUCCUUUAAUUAAAACAAAACUACAGUCAAUAGAAACAUAUAACAAUUGCAAGACUACAUUACAGGUAAAUAUUUACAAAUAUUGGAUAGGAUUAGUUUGAGUAAGGAUGCCAAAUUCUAGAUCCGAUUCGGAUAUAGGUACAUUUAGAUCUGAAUCUGUAAAAAAAUAUGUGGAUCUGAAUGCGGUUAAUAUCUGUAUAGAUUGUGAGCAUAUUUCUUAGAUAUCCAUAUUUACAUAAUAAUAAAUUUAAAUAUAAUUUUAAAUUCAACAAUUUACCUAAUAAUAUCAAAUAAAAUUUAAUUAUAAUUCAACAAUAAAAAAUUCGACAUCAAUUAGACAUAAAUAACAUACAACAACAUUAUAAAUUUGUAAAUAAAAAUUUCACAACAUAAAUCAAACAUAAAAAAUAAAAAAUCUAAAGUAAACCAGUUCAUUACAAUAUUCUCUAAUUAUUAUUAUUAUUAUUAUUAUUAUUAUUAUUAUUAUUAUUAUUAUUAUUAUUAUUAUUAUUAUUUCUUAACAUACUUUUCAAAAUCAAUAAAGAUUAUAGAGUUAAUUAUGCUUAUACUUAUUAAAUAAAUAAUUUAACUUAUAUAUUUUUCAAUUGAAAUUUAAUUGACAAAUAAUUUAAUUAUAAAAUAAUGCAGAUCUAGAUAUUCGAUUUCUCUUAUGCACUUAUAUGUAGAUCCGGAUUUAUAUUUUUUAAUAUAGGAUCCANNNNNNNNNNNNNNNNNNNNNNNNNNNNNNNNNNNNNNNNNNNNNNNNNNNNNNNNNNNNNNNNNNNNNNNNNNNNNNNNNNNNNUUUAAAUAAUUUUAUUUAAUUGAUCAUAUGAAUUCGAAUCAUAAAAAAGAUGAGGGAUCAAAAAAUGAUUUGGAUUUUGUAUAUCUAGUUACCUUAAAAUAUAAAAGAAAAGAUUAAUUGAUUAUUUUUGAAUCAUCCGUUUAUAUAUCUCCUCAUAAAUUGAUUAUUUUCAAAUCAUUCUUUUGACAUUAAAAACACCACAUAUUUUUCAAAGUCAAUAAAGAUUAUAGAGUUAAUUAUGCUUAUACUUAUUAAAUAAAUAAUUUAACUUAUAUAUUUUUCAAUUGAAAUUUAAUUGACAAAUAAUUUAAUUAUAAAAUAAUACAGAUCUAGAUAUUCGAUUUCUCUUAUGCACUUAUAUGUAGAUUGGAUUUGUAUUUUUUAAUAUAGGAUCCAGAUCUUCCGCAUCUUUGUGGAUGUGGGUCGAAUCCGGAUUUUCUUACCAUCCCUAAGUUUGAGUGCACCCUAAGUCCAGAGUGAUUUUUAAAUAAUUUUAUUUAAUUAAUCAUAUGAAUUCGAAUCAUAAAAAAGAUGAGGGAUCAAAAAAUGAUUUGGAUUUUGUAUAUCUAGUUACCUUAAAAUAUAAAAGAAAAGAUUAAUUGAUUAUUUUUGAAUCAUCCGUUUAUAUAUCUCCUCAUAAAUUGAUUAUUUUCAAAUCAUUCUUUUUACAUUAAAAACACCAAUUUACCUCCUAUUUUUGUUAAAAAAGACAAAAAAAAAUUAUCAACCCACUCUUUUUUUUAAUCUUUUUAAACAAAAAUGGGUAACUUGAAGUCUUCAAAUAUAAGGAAAAUGAUUUGAAAAUAAUCAAUUUACUAAGAAAUAAUCUAAAAUUUACCCUGAAAGAAAAAAAAAGAGUAAAGGAUCAAUUUCCAUUUGCCAAAGUUAUAAUUGUAUAGAUUAUAUAUUUUAUAUUUAGACCUCGGCAAACCAUGGUUGUAAGUUGUAACAUAACUUCACAAAGUGCAAAACAUAAAAGUUAUCCUUAAUAAUUUAAGAUAUAUUAAUAACUAAACAUUACUUAAAAUUAUUGGGUAUAAUUUUUCUGGUAGACGUAGCCACACCCUUGAAAUAAUUAUUAUUUUCAAUUAUAUAUUUCAAAACGCAUUUUUUAAAAUUACUUUUUUUUUAUGUGGGUCCUUGAGUGGAGGAAAAUACAAUGAUCGAAUGGACAAGAACGAAUCGUCAACUCUUUGUAGUGAUUAAGGAUAUUCGAUUGGUGAUUCCGCGGGAAAAGCGAUGGCAAUUGGCACCAACGGUUUUGUUAAUAGUAGUAAAAAAUGGGGUGGCAUUGCAAUGAGCAAUCAUGUUACUAUUAGAUGUAAUAUUUUUAUCUGAAAAAAAUGAUUUAUUGUGUUUGUAUCAUUUCUAUCAAAGUUAAAAGAUGGGUGAUGACUGAUGACUGAUGAUAGACUCACAAUGAUGGGUGAUGACAGACUCACAAUUAUUUAAUAUAAAUAAAAUUGUAUAAAUUGAUGCUAUAUAAAGAGAUUAUUUGUAUAAAAAGGUCCAGCUAUAUUAUCGAAGGGGUUUGAUACCCCAUUUUUUGUCUUUUUUAAAUCGAUCUUUAGAUUUUAUCCAAAAGUAGUGCAAUAGCUUUAAUGUGUAUAUUGGGUUAUUAACAUUAAAAGUCUUUGUUAUUUAUGCAAAAUAAAAAAAAAUCAAAAGUUUUAAAAUUUUGACUUAAAAGCCUAUAAUAUUAUAAAUUUCUUAUACUACUGAACUAGAUUUUCAAUUAAAUGACUUAUUACUACAUUUAUAAAUAUAUAUAUAUAUAUAUAUAUAUUUAAAUUAAUAAUUUUUCUUAUUAAUUAAUUUAAUAUAUAGUUAAACUACAUAUGUUAUUUACUAUCUAUAAUUGAUGAUAAAUAUAAAUAUGAUUUUUUUUGUCAUAACGGCAACUAAUUUCCUCUCACCUAUGUGAGUAAGGUUCAAAUUCAGUGUCCUUUUUUUUUUUUGACACAAGAUAUUUUACUAUCUCAAUUAGAUGGAAUGUACAAAAUGUAAAAAUAAAUUUAAUUUUAUAUUCUACAUAGUUAAUGUUUUAUUUUUUUUAUAACAUAAUAUUUAUUUAUUAUACUAUCAAUUAUUCGAUUAUAUAAUAAAAAUAUAUUAACUUACUACUAAUAAUAAAGUGUUAGCUUAUGAAUUGCAAAAUCAUUUUUGUUUGUUUGAAAUAAGGAUUUUUGUAUUUUUGGUUGAGUUUUUAUCCUUAAAUAAAAAGAAUAAAUUUAAUUACAUUUAAAUGCAUUGACAUUUGUUAUUCCACACCUAAUUUUAAAUAGUCAUUAAUGUUUUUAUAUUUUCUAUAAAUUGUGGAGUGCUAUCUACUUGAACUCUAAUAAAUUUUUAUUUUAAAUACAAAUGAAUGAUUUUUAAAAAUAUGAAAAUUCAACACCUAUCUAUUGAUUAUAAUAUAAGUCAAGUAGCAUAAUUAAUUGAAUAACUAAUCGUAUCAUAAACAAAUUAUCAUAUUAGAAAUUUUUAAAUUGAACUCAAUACAGUAGUUAAUUGAGUUGACAGUUAGGGAGAGCAAGCAAAUCCAUUCAAGUUGGAUAUUCAAGUAUCUGAUAAAAAAUAAAUUGAAUAAAAUCCAUCCAAAAUACAUUGGAUUUGGUUUAUUUAAUAUUCAUCAAUAAAUUUGAAUAUUAUUAAUACAUAAGUAUAUGAGAUUAAAAUUGAAUAUUAAAAUUAAUAUUUAAGUUUUAUAAAUUAAAUGAAAAAUCAAAAUAACAUUACUAAAAAUUAUUACAGUGUCUGCAACAACAAUGACGGCACCAUCAUAAAAAAAUAUAACUGAAUGAACAGAAAUACAAAUACUGUCAAUCGAUUUGAUAUUCUCUAAUCUACGUAAUGGUGGCAACAUUGCUAGAUAAAUGAAUGUGUCGUACAUGGAUGCGCCAUCCAAUACAAAUAACCAUAGCAAGACUGCCAUGAUUAAGCAGCGUUUCAAAGUUCACUACCACCUUUAACAACCAAAUUGGCAAUAUUUAAAUUGGAAAAUGGUGGCUGUGCAAUGUAACUCAUUGUGGUUUUAUGGCGUAGUUAUGCUAGCAGUCAUUUUUGGAAGGCGCGUAUGACUCUGCAGAUCACCGUUUUAUAGUAUUAAAACUAUUAUUGUGUAGAUCAUCCAUUUCAAGUCCAAUGGUACCCUUCAUAGCCCCCUUCAAUCAAUAAUGUUUAAGGUUGGUAAAUUGUAAGUUUGGGCCGGAUUUUUUCAAGCCCAAACCCAAGCCCAUGUAAUUAGUAAAAAGCCCAAGUCCUUUAAAAGUCCGUCCAAACUUGAGAGGGCUGGGCGUGGCCGAGCUUGUAUUUUUAAUAAUUUUUAAUAUAUUUUUAUUUUUAUUUCCUUUUUAUUGUGUGAGAGCUGCAUAUGGCAUUUUCAUUUAUUGAUGGAAAAUUUUUAUUGUGUAGAUCAUUGUGGUUUUAUGGCGUAGUUAUGCUAGCAGUCAUUUUUAGAAGGCACGUAUGACUCUGCAGAUCACUGUUUUAUAGUAUUAAAACUAUUAUUGUGUAGAUCAUCCAUUUCAAGUCCAAUGGUACCCUUCAUAGCCCCUUCAAUCAAUAAUAUUUAAGGUUGGUAAAUUGUAAGUUUGGGCCGGAUUUUUUCAAGCCCAAACCCAAGCCCAUGUAAUUAGUAAAAAACCCAAGCCCUUUAAAAGCCCGUCCAAACUUGAGAGGGCUGGGCGUGGCCGAGCUUGUAUUUUUAAUAUAUUUUUAUUUUUAUUUCUUUUUUAUUGUGUGAGAGCUGCAUAUGGCAUUUUCAUUUAUUGAUGGAAAAUUUUCCCACAACACCACCAAUUAUCCUCUAAAUCUCAUAAUAAUAAAAAAAGACAAUAAUAUACAUGUAAGUGAAAAAUUUGCUUAAUUUUAAUGACAAACGAGAAAGUGCCUAUCAAAUAAAAACCUGCAAAUUAAAAGUGAUAAACUAGGUAAAUGUUAAAUACCCUUCAAUAAUUUUUAAAAGAACUUGUGGCUGAAACUGAAACACAAUGCUUCUUCUUCGUUAUCCACUUUCUAUGGCAACAAUGAAACAUUCUUCUUCUUCUUCUUCUUCAUUCUCCCUCUCUCGAUUCUUCCACAAAACUACUCUCCAUUACAACAUCAACAAUGGCUUCAGUAAUCUCAGAAUUUCUACAAUAAUAAAAAAAAAUCAAAGCUUACUUGGGGUAGAGUUGGUGAUGGUUGUUGUUGGUUUGCGUGCGCUGUUGGUGCUGCUGAGUUCACUGCUGCGUCGCGUGCUGCCGUGCUGGCCUCGUGUAGCUGUGUCGCGUUUGCUCUAGUUUGAACUCAAUCGACGAUUGCUGAAUGAUGUGGCUGCAAUUGUUGGGUCUUGUGUGGGUGUGAGGCAACGAUACGAAGGUGCAACUGUUGGCUGUUGCCUCACUUCAUUUUUUGCCUUUUUGGGUGGAUGUGGGUGCGCGAUUCUUGUGAGAGCUUUAGGGCCUGUUUGGUAUUGUUUUUGAAUUUGUAUUUUUAGAGAAUAAAAAUGAAAAUGAAAAUGGUAUUUUGCAGUUGCUGUAUUUCGAAUUUAAAUAUGCGUCUGGUAUCAUUUUAUGUAUCCUAUAUUUUAAAACUGAAAACAGUAAUAUGCGUUUGGUAGACACAGUUGAAAAUGAUAAAAACAGAGAAUAUGCGUUUGGUAUGCUUUUUUCAAAAACAGUUUUUACUAAUCAUUUACAUUAUAUUUAUAGUCAUAAAAUAAUUAUUUAGCUAAUACACAAAUACAACAAAAUAAUUUAACCAAAUUUAAUAUAAAAAAAUUACAUGAUAAUAAAGUUUAAGAAUUCACAUUAAUUAAAAUUUUUUUGACAUUGUCAUUGUUUUUACACCAUAUAAUUAAGAUAUAUAUUACAACACAUGCUUUAAACAAAAUAAUUAUAAAAAAAUAUAUGAUACACAUUAUGCAUUACGUAUGUAAUCAUGCCACAUAAAAGCUGCAAUUCCAUCUCUUGUAGCAUUCAUCUCUGCGAUACUUGCUGGAGAUAAAUCAAUAUUAGUAAGUGGCCUACUACUAAAUCAAUGGUACCCAAAAAAAUAAAAAAUAAAACAUAUAUCAAAUAUUAAUCAAAUUAAAAACACUGCUAUUAAAUUUUAAGAUAUAAACAUACAAUUUUCAAUACAUGCUAUUAAUCCCCCACUCAAUUUCAGUAAUGUAAUCAGCAUAAAGGUUGCAUUGCUAUGACUUUUUGCAUUAAUAUUGAUAACUAAAAGCCUUAACUUACUUUUUGAACUUGGUUAUUUGUUACUUAAUGCAGACAGCUUACAACUUGAAGAUUUGAGAAUCAUUUACCACGGAAAUACCCACCCAGGUAUUUGGUAUGCUAGUGUAGUGUUUUUGGGAACAAUUUUUAGUCAAUUGAAGUUCAUUUUAAAUAAGAGCCAAGAGUUUUUUAUUUUUUCUAACAAUUGCGAAAUUAAAUUACCAUAGCAUUUUGAGUAAUCAUUGCAUGUCAAUUAUGAAUUAUUUAUUUUAUUUCCCAAAAAAACUCCCCCAUGUUCUAACUUCGGUCUCCCAAGUCCCGACCGCAAAAACAUAAUCCAUUUUUGUAGAUAUAAUUUAGUUCUUCAAAUUUUCGUAAUAUAAUUUGUGAAAUCACCAGAAUUUGAUAGCAUUGUCAUAAGUCAUAACCCUUUAUAAUUCUUUAAUUUUAUUCUAAAUAUUUAAUCUACCAUCUCACGUAACCUCGGAUUUUAAUUAGGUUGGGUGUGGGAUUAACAUAAGCCCAACACUUUAUAUAGAAACAAAAAAUCAAUCUUGAUCAUCAAAGCUUAAGAACAACACGUGAAGUAAACAAAAUUCCUAAGGAAACAAAAACCCUGAAUCUAUUUAAUUCAAAUAUUUUAAAUAAACCAAAUCAGCAUAAAGGAAUUCCCACAAGAAAUUGUUUGUUUUACUAGAUUUAAUCUCUAAAAUAAAUGAGGAAAAAUUUCAGCACAUAAAUAAACAAUUUGUCACUACAUAUGAACAACCUCAGAAAUUUCCAGAAUUAAAAAUCACUCAAAUCAUCUCUAAAAAAUUUCAGCUCAUAAACAAAAUAAAUACUGGCUAGUGACAGAUCCGGGAGAGCAACAGCAGCUGGCGUGAAGACGAGCAGCAACGGCUGAGCAGAACAGCAGCGAAAACAGAGCAGCAGCGAAGACGAGCAGCAGCGGAGCAGAGCAGCAGCGGAAACAGAGUAGCGGCGGCUAUGGCGGAAACACAGCAACGACAGUGGCUGAGAGUGCAGAUUUGCUGAGGAAAGGGAGAGAGUGCAGAUUUACUGCAACUGAAUCAAGAAGGCUGCGGGGGAAAGGGGAAGAGAGAGAGGCAGUGAAGAGAUAAGGAGGAGAGAGUGGAUCGGGAGAAAUAAAGAGAGAAAGAUGUUGGAUGAAGAUAAGGGGAGGGAGAGAGUGCAGAUUUGCUGCAACUGGAUGAAGAAAGUUGGGGGGAAGAGAGAGCGGCAGUGAAGAGAUAAGGAGGAGGUCACGAUUUUUCUUUUGUUUUUUUAAUUCAUUUUUAGGUUUAGACUGUCAAAUUUGGAGAACAUGUUUAACUUGUUUUCAGUUGUGUAGUUAUAAUAAUGAAUCCAGAUUUUGUGUUUUGUAAUUUGUUUUGUGAAAAAAAUCCACCAAACAUGUUUUAUGUGUGUAUUAUAAAAAUGAAAACGAAAAUAUGGUUUGAAAAACGGUACCAAACGGCCCCGUAGGGUUCAUUGUUUUUUGUUUAGAUUUUGUGUUUUUUUUUUCAGAUAUUUUUUCAUUUAUAUAUUUUUGUUUUUUAUUUCAGAUUUUUUAUUUAUAUAUUUUUGUUUGAGGCCCUUAACCAAGCCCAUUAUAAAUGGGCUUCAUAUUUCUAAGCCUUUAUCCAUAAUUUUAUCCGGGGUUGGGCUUGAAGCUCGGGAGCACUUUUUUACCAAGCCUAAGUGGUCACCAGCGAUUUUCAAUACUUUUUAAUGUAAAUUAUUUUUUUGUAAUUAAUUCAAAAUAAAAUUAAUAAUUUUUAUUAUUAUUCUGUUUCUAUAUUGAAAAUAAUUUAGUUACAUUUUAAUACUAAUCAUUUUAGGAAAUUAAAUAAAAAAUAAAUAAGAUUUUUUUAUGUAAAACUCAUUAAUUAGUUUUCAUACAGUAAAAUGUAUAAUGAUUUAUAAUAAAAAUUAAAUACCAUGUUUAUCAAUAGAUAUCCAUAACAUAUUGGAUAAUUUGUAUUUGCACAUAGAUGGAUAAUAACUAUUAUUCAAUUGGAUUUUGCCAUCCCUAAUUGAUAGGGAUACGAUCAAUUAAAUAAUUGUGUCAAAUUGACCAAUCAAAUAUAUAUAUAUAUAUAUAUAUAUAUAUAUAUAUAUAUAUAUAUAUUGCGUCAUAUUCUUGUCAGAUUAAUGGGUUAGUGUCAGACAACAACAUCAUGGCAAUGGACUUUUUGUUUUUUACUUUGGUAGUGAAAUGGAUUUUUUCCCCAAUUCUAGCAAAUUAUGCAUUAGGUUCUCUACAUAUAUUGCGAUAAUAAAAAAAACUUAUAUUGUCCAAAUUGGCAAGUUUGCGAUGUCGGAGUAGUGUGUUCGUGUUGGGUCUUGGAAAGGUGUUUAUGACAUAGGUUGUGGCUUUUGGAAACAUUACUGUAAUUGAAAAUUUGUAAGUGCAGGCCUAAUGUGUCAAAAUUUAAAAGUCGUUGGCCUUUUUUUUUUAUAUAUAUAUAUAACAAAUAAUAGGACUCCAUUAUAAUUGACUUAGAGAAAGACAAAAAAAAGGGGUAACAAACCCUUGUGGCAACAUAGUUUUACCCUAUAAUUAUCACGGCGCACAUAAUUAGAAAAAAUAACUAUUAUUACUUUUCAAUUAAUCACUUUAUAUCACAUUAGUUUAUAAUAUUAAUUUGUAAAAAAUUAUUUGUAGUUCUAUCACUAUUGUUAAAAGAUAGGAAAAUGGAAGCUUGGAUUAAUGUGUAUUCGCAUAGAUAAAAAAAAAAAUUGUGUAUCUCAUCGACCGGUCAUAGAUUGGCCAAAUUAGUUUACAUUUGAGUGAGGAUUUUCCAACUAUUAUUUAUUUAUUUCACUUAGCACUAAAAGUAAAUUUUUACUUCCAAAUUAAUUGUUCGAUAGUCUCUCCCCGGGACUGGGGUCCAUCCUAUUAUACUCUCAAAGAAAUUGAGAGGGAAAAUUCAAGCAAGGUUCACUCUAAUUUGAUUUUAUUGUUUGAUUAUGAACAACGAACAUAAAGGUUUCCGUGAAGGGAAAAUGCAAAUUAAAGCGCGUGCAAUCCUAUUUAUUAUUUGUCUUGAUUUUGUUUUAAUCAUCAUCUUCAACUAGUGACAAUAUUUAUUUGGGACUUAGCUAUGGUGCAACUGUGGUACCAUACCACAGCUGCACCUAGUGAUUAAAUCUAGUUACCUAACCAUUUGAUCUCUCACCAUAGCUGAAUUUAAUGGUUAAGUGCAGCUGUGAUAUGGUACCACAUUUACACCAUAGCUGAACCUUUCAUUUGAGCAAAGUUAAAAUCAAUUUUAUGAUUCUUAACCUUUAUCUUUCUUAGGAUUUGAUUUUGACUACUAGUCAAAUAAAAUUAUUGGAGAACUAUUCAAAUAUACCUAGUGGUGUAAUAAGAAAUUUGAAUUAACAUUAACAAAUUUUUAAAAAUGUUUAAGACAAUUUUUUAAGAAUAUUUUUAAAAAUUAGGUACUUCCAUUCUCACUUUGAUUAUUUAUUACAUUAAAUUACGUAGACAUUAUAAAAUAUUUGGACUUAAUUUCUCGUGUUUUUGUUGGUUUAGUAAAUUAAAACCACCCUUUGUCCCUCGUUUAGUAAUUAGGAUCCCAUAAGUUAUAAUUGUUUAUUUAUGAAUAACACCAAUUGUUGGGCAUUUUUUUUUUAUCGGAGCAAAUUAAAUUUUUUUUCAUUAACAACUUACACAUUAGUUUUGGUUCGAAAAAUAAAAUUAGCAAUUUUUGACAUACCCAUGAAGUCAACUCCACCUUAUUUCUUUCUUUUUAGUUCCUUUCAUGAGAUUUUGAUAAGGUGGGCAAAAAAGCCUGGGCUUGCUCGCCCUAGACCCGAGAGUUUUUGGGCUAGCCCUUUACAUGAAGACCUAAAUAUGAGUUAAAAUUUCUAAAGUCUGUUGUGAAUAGGUCUGGUUAAAGACUUAUGUAAAAAGUUUAGACUUGACUCAAAUUUUAUAAUUUAUAAAUUAAAAAAGAAAAUCAAAUAAAAAAAAAGAAAGAAAACAAGCAAAUUCACGUGACUGAAUUUCUCGUUUACUAUAUUAUAUUGUUAGUAUUUUGUGUAUUGUACUAUUAAUCUAUUAUGUAUUGAAUAAUCAUCUUUAAUUUUAAUAUUUUUUUAAUUUUUAGCUUUAUUAAAAAUUCAUUUAAAAAUUAAUAGAAGCCCAAGUCCGGCCUAGGCCCAUCAAGACUCAGCCUAGGCCCGGUUCUUCCAAAUUUGGAUGGACUUUUAGAGAACUUGAGUAUGUUAUCAAUAACAUGAGCUUGGCCUUGGUUUGAAAAAGCCUAACCUAAACCUGUAAUCUAUAUAUGUGCCAUGUUUUCAAGACUAUCUCAAAGUUUUGUUUUACAUGGUUACAUGUCUAUUGAAAUAAUGAUUUUACGUAGGUCUCCCUCUCUCAAAUUUACAUUUUAAAAAAUUUAUUGAUUGGUAAUUCUAGUUGUUAUUCAUUUUUAAAUUAUUUUAUUUGAUUGUAAGUUACAAAACAUUUUUUAUGUAUAAUUAUAAUUGUAGUAAUAGUAGUAGCAAUAACAAUAACAACAACAAUAACAAAAAAAAAAUUAUUAUUAGGAUAAUAGUAAAAAUGAAUAUAAUAAUAUUAACUAAGGGCAUUUUAAUAAUUUAUAACAAUUCAUUCUGGUUUCAAGACGAAGUAAAUAAAUCAAUGUGAUACAAUUCAUUUCAAUUCUAAUUCACAUAGCUCAAGUAAAAUCUUAUUUUAGUUUUCAUUUGUUACUAUGAUUCCAACCCAUUCUGAUUGCUGCAAAGGAAAUACACCGUAAAUGUAAUUUUGACAAGCUCAUAUAUUAUACUCAAAUUGUUUUGUAGUUUUUUCUCGAAUGACAACCAAAUUAGCAAAAUCUGGUGCUAUCAUUGCCACUAAACGAAAUCGAUUUUGAACUUCAUCGAAAUUAGGAUUGGGCAUUGAAUCGGGUUCGAAUAGAUGCGAUCCAAUUAAGUUUGGAUUGGAUUCGAAUAUUGCCCAAAAUUUGAUCUCAUAUAAUUUGUGCCAUCUAAUUAGAUUUGCUUCGAAUCGGAUUAGAUUCGACUUGAUUUGAAAAAUUCAAUUGGAUUGCAGUGCUUCCUAAAAAAUUCAAAUACAAAUAAUUAAAUAUAAAAUCAAUAACUCAAUCCAAAAUAGUCUAAUCCAAAAUACCAUCUGAAUCUAAAAUAUCAUCCAAAUUCAAACUCAUUUGAACUUGGAUUCAUCCAAAUAUUCAUCCAAUUAGAUUUUUUUUUUUAAGUGGAUCGAAUUGAAUUCAGAUGGUUUUUUUUUCUCAAUCUGCACAAUUCAAAAUCCACUCUGAUUCAUCUAAAUAUGAAGUUAUGUAAAAUUUUAGGACAACCGAACAAUUCUAAGAUUUUUUUCUUUUUCCCUCAUUAUGAGCCCAAUGACAAAUGUAGUUAGAAAUUGCAUCUGUAGCUGGAAAAUAUUACGACCAUAGAUAAAUUGGGUGCGUGAAUAUUACAAACUUGUUAAUCCUAAUGAAGAGUCAUUAGCUCAAAUAUAAAAGACUUGAGGGGCCUGUUGGAUAAUAGUUAAAAUAAUAAUCAAAAGACGACAAACAUGAGGUUAUCCUCAAAGUACUGCCAGCUAAAUGAAGUAAACUGAAGGUCAGCACAGACCCCC
This 16142-nucleotide long non-coding RNA is filed under the name Citrus x clementina. RNAcentral's name for it is "Citrus clementina (C. clementina) long non-coding RNA (CCLE_LNC003368)". Lineage: Eukaryota; Viridiplantae; Streptophyta; Magnoliopsida; Sapindales; Rutaceae. The record is from RNAcentral.